AGCUCCAAUAGUGUAUAUUAAAGUUGCUGCAGUUAAAAAGCUCGUAGUUGGAUUUCGGAUAAUAAAAAUUUAAUAUCCAUCCUUAAAAUGUGAUUUAAUUUUUAUUUCCUUCCUUUUGAAUACACUCCCUAAACUCUUUUAGGGAAUCAAGUGUUUCAAAUCGUUUACUGUGAAGAAAUUAGAGUGUUCAAAGCAGGCGUAACCUAGCCUUUGAAUAUAUUAGCAUGGGAUAAUGAAAUAGGACUUUAGUCCUACUUUCGUUGGUUUCUAGGGCUGAAGUAAUGAUUAAUAGGGAUAGUUGGGGUCACUAGUAUUUAAUUGUCAGAGGUGAAAUUCUAAGAUUUAUUAAAGACUAACUACUGCGAAAGCAUUUGACAAGGAUGUUUUCA
Molecule: ribosomal RNA, 389 nt
Filed under: uncultured eukaryote
Lineage: Eukaryota
Description: SSU rRNA
Rfam family: Eukaryotic small subunit ribosomal RNA
Source: RNAcentral